RNAcentral lists this ribosomal RNA (1440 nucleotides) under Limosilactobacillus fermentum. Its description in RNAcentral is "bacterial SSU rRNA". It matches the Rfam family "Bacterial small subunit ribosomal RNA". The record is from RNAcentral. Lineage: Bacteria; Bacillati; Bacillota; Bacilli; Lactobacillales; Lactobacillaceae.
AUGCAAGUCGAACGCGUUGGCCCAAUUGAUUGAUGGUGCUUGCACCUGAUUGAUUUUGGUCGCCAACGAGUGGCGGACGGGUGAGUAACACGUAGGUAACCUGCCCAGAAGCGGGGGACAACAUUUGGAAACAGAUGCUAAUACCGCAUAACAGCGUUGUUCGCAUGAACAACGCUUAAAAGAUGGCUUCUCGCUAUCACUUCUGGAUGGACCUGCGGUGCAUUAGCUUGUUGGUGGGGUAACGGCCUACCAAGGCGAUGAUGCAUAGCCGAGUUGAGAGACUGAUCGGCCACAAUGGGACUGAGACACGGCCCAUACUCCUACGGGAGGCAGCAGUAGGGAAUCUUCCACAAUGGGCGCAAGCCUGAUGGAGCAACACCGCGUGAGUGAAGAAGGGUUUCGGCUCGUAAAGCUCUGUUGUUAAAGAAGAACACGUAUGAGAGUAACUGUUCAUACGUUGACGGUAUUUAACCAGAAAGUCACGGCUAACUACGUGCCAGCAGCCGCGGUAAUACGUAGGUGGCAAGCGUUAUCCGGAUUUAUUGGGCGUAAAGAGAGUGCAGGCGGUUUUCUAAGUCUGAUGUGAAAGCCUUCGGCUUAACCGGAGAAGUGCAUCGGAAACUGGAUAACUUGAGUGCAGAAGAGGGUAGUGGAACUCCAUGUGUAGCGGUGGAAUGCGUAGAUAUAUGGAAGAACACCAGUGGCGAAGGCGGCUACCUGGUCUGCAACUGACGCUGAGACUCGAAAGCAUGGGUAGCGAACAGGAUUAGAUACCCUGGUAGUCCAUGCCGUAAACGAUGAGUGCUAGGUGUUGGAGGGUUUCCGCCCUUCAGUGCCGGAGCUAACGCAUUAAGCACUCCGCCUGGGGAGUACGACCGCAAGGUUGAAACUCAAAGGAAUUGACGGGGGCCCGCACAAGCGGUGGAGCAUGUGGUUUAAUUCGAAGCUACGCGAAGAACCUUACCAGGUCUUGACAUCUUGCGCCAACCCUAGAGAUAGGGCGUUUCCUUCGGGAACGCAAUGACAGGUGGUGCAUGGUCGUCGUCAGCUCGUGUCGUGAGAUGUUGGGUUAAGUCCCGCAACGAGCGCAACCCUUGUUACUAGUUGCCAGCAUUAAGUUGGGCACUCUAGUGAGACUGCCGGUGACAAACCGGAGGAAGGUGGGGACGACGUCAGAUCAUCAUGCCCCUUAUGACCUGGGCUACACACGUGCUACAAUGGACGGUACAACGAGUCGCGAACUCGCGAGGGCAAGCAAAUCUCUUAAAACCGUUCUCAGUUCGGACUGCAGGCUGCAACUCGCCUGCACGAAGUCGGAAUCGCUAGUAAUCGCGGAUCAGCAUGCCGCGGUGAAUACGUUCCCGGGCCUUGUACACACCGCCCGUCACACCAUGAGAGUUUGUAACACCCAAAGUCGGUGGGGUAACCUUUUAGGAGCCA